This 453-nucleotide ribosomal RNA is filed under the name uncultured microorganism. RNAcentral's name for it is "bacterial SSU rRNA". It matches the Rfam family "Bacterial small subunit ribosomal RNA", at positions 346 to 795 of the family's 1533-position model. The record is from RNAcentral.
UGGCUGCAGUCGAGGAUAUUUAGCAAUGGACGAAAGUCUGACUAUGCGACGCCGCGUGAGGGAUGAAGGUCUUCGGAUCGUAAACCUCUUUCAAUAGGGAAGAAACCCUCCGUUGAAAGACGGAGGUUGACGGUACCUAGAGAAGAAGCCAUGGCUAACUCCGUGCCAGCAGCCGCGGUAAUACGGAGGUGGCUAGCGUUACUCGGAUUCAUUGGGUGUAAAGGGCAGGUAGGCGUCCCACUAAGUUAGAAGUGAAAUCCUUUGGCUCAACCAAAGAACUGCUUCUAAAACUGAUGGGAUUGAGACUAGAAGAGGAGAGUGGAAUUCCCGGUGUAAGGGUGAAAUCUGUAGAUAUCGGGAGGAACGCCAGUGGCGAAAGCGGCUCUCUGGUCUAGAUCUGACGCUGAACUGCGAAAGCUAGGGUAGCAAACAGGAUUAGAUACCCCGGUAGUC